GAGAGAGAGAGAGAGAGAGAGAGAGAGAGAGAGAGAAAGAUAGAGAGAGAGAGAGGAAGACGAGAUUUCUUUCCUUUUCCACUUGUAAAAGCGAUCGUUUGUCGAAGUAUUUCCGUCACGAUUCUUCGUUGAAAUUUUACGCGAUCUACUCUGUCACGUGACCCGUUCCUUUGCCCUUUACGUAUCGAACGAAUCAAUUGAAUUUCGAAUAAAAAUAAAAAAAAACACACACACACACAAAGAAAAAAGAAAAAAUGAGAAAGAAAAGAAGAAAAAAUAAAUGAAAGGAAAGAAAAGAGAAGUAACGAAGAAAUCUAUGUGGGAGGGAAACGUUAGCGUGACGUCGUUCGAGGAUACGUGUUUUAACAUAACUCUUAAGGCGAAAAUGAUAACGUGCUUAAAGAAGAAAAAGAAACAAAAAAGGAAGAGAAAGAAAGGAAAAUAAAUAAGAAACGAUCCAUAAAAAAACGUAGUAGAGAAGAUUAGCUCGCGUGUGCGUAAACCUGCGAGAGAUUUAACGAGCCGACGAUUAUCGCGAUUAUACGAGUGGGUUCGAGUGAAGAAGAAUGAGAGGAAGUGAAACGCUUAGUCUACGACAAGAGAGGAAGAAAGAAAGAAAGAAAGAAAGAGAAAGACAGAGAGAAAGAGAGAGACAGAGAAAAAAGAGAGAGAGAGAGAGAGAGAACGCUGCGGAAUAGGAGGAUGAAGAAGAGUAGGGUGUUGGCGGCUUGAACGGGGGUGGUUUAAUGGCGCGUAUCCAGCAUCCGGGUGACGUGUUCAGCGGUGCUUGUACGUUGAAAAUCGUGGGGAUUCGUGAGGAACGAAAAAUAAGAGAAAAGGAAGAGAAGGGAUAGGGAAGGAAAACACGGAGAAGGAUGAGAAACGAAGAGUAAGAAGCGAAGGAAGAUGGAAAGAGUCUGUGAAAGAUCAAGAGGUGA
Vespula pensylvanica (western yellowjacket) is the source of this 938-nucleotide long non-coding RNA. RefSeq lists it as uncharacterized. The record is from RefSeq and is a predicted model, not a curated record. NCBI's taxonomy places the organism in Eukaryota, Metazoa, Arthropoda, Insecta, Hymenoptera, Vespidae. The transcript is spliced from 2 exons.